GUAAUUUUCUAUGUGCUUCUAUAUGGGUGUAGCACUUAGUCCAUUGAGAUAUGGCGUUCAGUGCGUGAAUCCAUUCGUCAUCCGUGAGUUGGAUAGUGCAUUCUGUUUCCCACAUUGCUUUGCAAUGCGGUGUUGCGUUGGGCAAGGUACUGUCCCAUGCCCUAUAACAGAGGGAAAUACUGUUCUUUUUCAUAGGGCCUUUCCAGCAUCUUUCUAUUACUGCUUUUGUUGGAAGGGGGCUCUGGUCAGGGGGUUGUUGUUGCUUGUUUACGUGUGUGUUGAUGAUCCCUUUUAGUUGUAGGUACGUGAAAAUAGCGUUUGUUGGCAACUCCCAUUUCGUUUGUAUGUCCGUGAAGGGUAAUAUUUCUUGCGAUUGCAUUAUCUGGUGAAUAUGUCUAAUGCCUGCAUGUACCCAUGUCUGUAGACGUAUGUCUGGUGAUAUGGCUCUUAGGGCGGUUAGAG
Pelobates cultripes (western spadefoot toad) is the source of this 462-nucleotide non-coding RNA. NCBI's taxonomy places the organism in Eukaryota, Metazoa, Chordata, Amphibia, Anura, Pelobatidae. The record is from the annotation of a GenBank genome assembly.